CAGUCGCCACGGUAAUACGAAGGGUGCAAGCGUUACUCGGAAUUACUGGGCGUAAAGCGUGCGUAGGUGGUGGUUUAAGUCCGUUGUGAAAGCCCUGGGCUCAACCUGGGAAUUGCAGUGGAUACUGGGUCACUAGAGUGUGGUAGAGGAUAGUGGAAUUUCCGGUGUAGCAGUGAAAUGCGUAGAGAUCUGGAGGAACAUCAGUGGCGAAGGCGGCCAUCUGGGACAACACUGACGCUGAAGCACGAAAGCGUGGGGAGCAAACAGGAUUAGAUACCCGCGUAGUCCCUGUCUCUUAUAC
This 301-nucleotide ribosomal RNA is filed under the name uncultured bacterium. RNAcentral describes it as "partial 16S ribosomal RNA". It matches the Rfam family "Bacterial small subunit ribosomal RNA", at positions 509 to 807 of the family's 1533-position model. The record is from RNAcentral.